Molecule: long non-coding RNA, 1624 nt
Organism: Oryctolagus cuniculus (rabbit)
Lineage: Eukaryota; Metazoa; Chordata; Mammalia; Lagomorpha; Leporidae
Source: Ensembl
AUGGGGCUCCACUCGCAUCUGAAGAUGUCGCUGCGACACCAAGGGCCGCCACUCCUGGGAAAGCACGGUGUGGAUGGGAAUCACGCACACAGUUUCUGCCUUAGGGAAAAGCGCUGGAGAGAGAGCACUGGACGAGGAGUCAGGGACCCAGGGGGCAAUGUGUCCUGGGCCCGCGGGUCUUGGCUGUCUGUUUCCUGUGUGCCUCGGUCUCCCCAUCUGCCCGGGAGUGAUGGCCUGCCGUGCUGGUUACACCUUGGGGAGAUGAGGGGCUGGCCCAGUGGUGACGUCAUCCCCGCUGCACCUCUGUCUUCAGCCCUACAAGUGGAGCAGGUGUUGGGCCUGGUGGUUAAGCAUCCGCAGCCAGCGCCGGAGUCCCUGGGUUCGACUCCUGACUCAGCAGCUUCCUGCAGAACCCCCCGGGGGGGGGGAUGGAGAGCUGUGGUCAGGUCCUGGCCACCAGUGCGGGAGACCUGGCCUGAGUUCCCAGCUCCUGGCUGCAGCCACAGCGCAGCUCCAGGCAGCCAUGGUGCCCGUCUGGGGAAUGAACUAGAAGAUGGAGUGCUCUCUCUCUCUCUUGCUCUCACUCUCCCUCUCCCUCUUACUCUCUUCCUCCCUCUCAAAUAAACUAAUUUUAAAUUUUGUGAAUGAUUAUAACAGGGCUGCUGGCCAUUGCACUUGCUGCAGAGGAACACCUCUGACCUCCAUGGCUGCUGGUGCCUGGCGGGCAGUCUGCCCCCACCCCCACCCCCACCCGGGUUCAUGGCCAUGAGGCAGGGAGCUCCACUGGGUCCACCACUCAGAUCCCGCAGCCCUGGCUCACUCAUGGCUCUCAUAUUAGCAGCCCCUACCUUGCACACCACACAGGCCUGGAGAACCCGGGUCCCCAGUCCCACCCCACCCAGAGGAGCAACCACUCCUGUCCCCUCGUCCUGCUCCUGGGCUGGGAUGCCGGGCAGUGAGCAGGGUGCUGGCUAGGGUGCUCCUGGGGUCAGGUCGGGUGCUCCCAGGGUCAGGUCGGGAAGGGAGCAAGAUGAGGCCGCAGGAGAAGCCAGGCCACCCCCAGGCUGUGUUAAGGAAGGCCAAGCCCCACGUUGCAAGGAAACACCUUCAGAGUGUCUCCACUAGGAAGGCAGGUGCAGCCUUGACCUUGCUGCCCCAGCCAGCCAUAGGUGGUGUCCACUCUUCCCGGCAGGGCCGUGGCCCCGGGGGAUUCCGCGCCUGGCUUGGUGGCAUGCUAACCGGCAGGCCGGGACUGGCUGCAGCUGACUCACCCUCUUCACCUUCCCUCGCCCGGGGGCUGGGUCCUGUCCUGGGCGAGCAGCUCGGGGCCUCUCCUAGCCCUCAUGGCUGCUCCUCACUGUGCUUUUAGGUAUAAAAACCGGGACUGUUUCUCAGAUUGGAGCAAGGACAGCUAGGGCUCAUGGAACUAGAAAAUCCAGCAAGGACACUUUCAGGUAAGGCUGGAUCCAGGGUCAAAGCAUCCCCAGGGCUGUGUCUUCUGCUCCCAGCUCCACUCCCAGGCAGCUGUCAUGCCGUGCUACCCUCCACGGAGGCAGAACCUGUCGGCAGACUCCAGUCCCCACCCCGGGACCCAGUGUCAGGGUGUGGAAGGUGCAAGGCUCCC